GCCGGCGUAGCUCAGUGGUAGAGCAACUGAUUCGUAAUCAGUAGGUCGCGGGUUCGACUCCCAUCGCCGGCUCCA
Molecule: transfer RNA, 75 nt
Filed under: Deltaproteobacteria bacterium
Lineage: Bacteria; Pseudomonadati; Myxococcota; Myxococcia
Also listed under: 3 other names
Description: tRNA-Thr
Rfam family: tRNA
About the family: Transfer RNA (tRNA) molecules are approximately 80 nucleotides in length. Their secondary structure includes four short double-helical elements and three loops (D, anti-codon, and T loops).
Source: RNAcentral